UUGUUGGUGAGGUAAUGGCUCACCAAGGCGACGAUCAGUAACGGGUCUGAGAGGAUGAUCCGUCACACUGGAACUGAGACACGGUCCAGACUCCUACGGGAGGCAGCAGUGGGGAAUUUUGGACAAUGGGGGAAACCCUGAUCCAGCCAUUCCGCGUGAGUGAAGAAGGCCUUCGGGUUGUAAAGCUCUUUCAGCUGGAACGAAACGGUACGCUCUAACAUAGCGUGCUAAUGACGGUACCAGCAGAAGAAGCACCGGCUAACUACGUGCCAGCAGCCGCGGUAAUACGUAGGGUGCGAGCGUUAAUCGGAAUUACUGGGCGUAAAGCGUGCGCAGGCGGAUUGUUAAGCAAGAUGUGAAAUCCCCGGGCUUAACCUGGGAAUGGCAUUUUGAACUGGCAGUCUAGAGUGUGUCAGAGGGGGGUGGAAUUCCACGUGUAGCAGUGAAAUGCGUAGAUAUGUGGAGGAACACCAAUGGCGAAGGCAGCCCCCUGGGAUAACACUGACGCUCAUGUACGAAAGCGUGGGUAGCAAACAGGAUUAGAUACCCUGGUAGUCCACGCCCUAAACGAUGUCAACUGGUUGUUGGGGGAGUGAAAUCCCUUAGUAACGAAGCUAACGCGUGAAGUUGACCGCCUGGGGAGUACGGUCGCAAGAUUAAAACUCAAAGGAAUUGACGGGGACCCGCACAAGCGGUGGAUGAUGUGGAUUAAUUCGAUGCAACGCGAAAAACCUUACCUACCCUUGACAUGUCCAGAAUCCUGCAGAGAUGUGGGAGUGCCCGAAAGGGAAUUGGAACACAGGUGCUGCAUGGCUGUCGUCAGCUCGUGUCGUGAGAUGUUGGGUUAAGUCCCGCAACGAGCGCAACCCUUAUCAUUAGUUGCUACGCAAGGGCACUCUAAUGAGACUGCCGG
Molecule: ribosomal RNA, 913 nt
Filed under: uncultured bacterium
Lineage: Bacteria
Description: bacterial SSU rRNA
Rfam family: Bacterial small subunit ribosomal RNA
Source: RNAcentral